This 1243-nucleotide ribosomal RNA is filed under the name metagenome. RNAcentral describes it as "bacterial LSU rRNA". It matches the Rfam family "Bacterial large subunit ribosomal RNA", at positions 1564 to 2818 of the family's 2925-position model. The record is from RNAcentral.
UGAAUACGAGACGCUAAGGCGUCGAAGUAGUGUAUGUCAUACUUCCAAGAAAAGCUUGCACUGUCAUAGAUAAAAAACGCCUGUACCAUAACCGACACAGGUGGGUAGGUAGAGUAUACUAAGGGGCGCGAGAUAACUCUCUCUAAGGAACUCGGCAAAAUAACUCCGUAACUUCGGGAGAAGGAGUGCCUUAUUCUUAAGGUUGCAAUAACAAGAUCCAAGCAACUGUUUAUCAAAAACACAGGUCUCCGCUAAGUCGUAAGACAAUGUAUGGGGGCUGACGCCUGCCCAGUGCCAGAAGGUUAAAGAAGCUGGUUAGCAUUUGCGAAGCUAGUAACUGAAGCCCUGGUGAACGGCGGCCGUAACAAUAACGGUCCUAAGGUAGCGAAAUUCCUUGUCGGGUAAGUUCCGACCCGCACGAAAGGCGUAAUGAUUUGGAUACUGUCUCGGAGAGGGGCUCGGUGAAAUAGACUUGUCUGUGAAGAUGCGGACUACCUGCACCAGGACAGAAAGACCCUAUGAAGCUUUACUGUAACUUGAAAUUGAAAUUGGACUUUAUUCGCGCAGUAUAGGUGGGAGGCGUUGAUUAUAAUCUUGCGGGAUUAUUGGAGCCAUUAGUGAGAUACCACUCUUGUAAUGUUAGAUUUCUAACUUUGAAUCAUUAUCUGGUCAAAGAACAGUUUCAGGCGGGCAGUUUGACUGGGGCGGUCGCCUCCCAAACGGUAACGGAGGCGUACAAAGGUUUCCUCUGAACGGUUAGAAAUCGUAUCUAGAGUGUAAGGCAUAAGGAAGCUUGACUGUGAGACCUACAAGUCGAGCAGGGACGAAAGUCGGUCUUAGUGAUCUGACGGUACUGAGUGGAAAGGCCGUCACUCAACGGAUAAAAGUUACUCUAGGAUAACAGGCUGAUCUCCCCCAAGAGUUCACAUCGACGGGGAGGUUUGGCACCUCGAUGUCGGCUCAUCGCAUCCUGGGGCGGUAGUACGUCCCAAGGGUUGGGCUGUUCGCCCAUGAAAGCGGUACGCGAGCUGGGUUCAGAACGUCGUGAGACAGUUCGGUCCAUAUCCGGUGUAGGCGUUAGAAUAUUGAGAGGAGCCUUCUUUAGUACGAGAGGACCGAGAAGGACAUACCUCUGGUGUACCUGUUAUCGUGCCAACGGUAGACGCUGGGUAGCUAUGUAUGGAGUGGAUAACCGCCGAAAGCAUCUAAGUGGGAAGCCCACCUCAAGAUAAGUAUUCUCAUC